This 93-nucleotide transfer RNA is filed under the name Limisphaerales bacterium. RNAcentral's name for it is "Verrucomicrobia subdivision 3 bacterium (sediment metagenome) tRNA-Ser". It matches the Rfam family "tRNA". Rfam says of the family: Transfer RNA (tRNA) molecules are approximately 80 nucleotides in length. Their secondary structure includes four short double-helical elements and three loops (D, anti-codon, and T loops). The record is from RNAcentral. Lineage: Bacteria; Pseudomonadati; Verrucomicrobiota; Verrucomicrobiia; Limisphaerales.
GGAGAGGUGACCGAGUGGCCGAAGGUGGCGGUUUGCUAAACCGUUGUACGGUUAAUAGCCGUACCGAGGGUUCGAAUCCCUCCCUCUCCGCCA